RNAcentral lists this ribosomal RNA (254 nucleotides) under uncultured bacterium. RNAcentral describes it as "partial 16S ribosomal RNA". It matches the Rfam family "Bacterial small subunit ribosomal RNA", at positions 524 to 776 of the family's 1533-position model. The record is from RNAcentral.
UACGUAGGGUGCAAGCGUUAUCCGGAAUUAUUGGGCGUAAAGAGCUCGUAGGCGGUUUGUCGCGUCUGCCGUGAAAUUCCCUGGCUUAACUGGGGGCGUGCGGGCGAUACGGGCAGACUGGAGUACUGCAGGGGAGACUGGAAUUCCUGGUGUAGCGGUGGAAUGCGCAGAUAUCAGGAGGAACACCGGUGGCGAAGGCGGGUCUCUGGGCCGAUAUUGACGCUGGAGGAGCGAAAGCGUGGGGAGCGAACAGG